RNAcentral lists this long non-coding RNA (538 nucleotides) under Marmota monax (woodchuck). The record is from RNAcentral. Lineage: Eukaryota; Metazoa; Chordata; Mammalia; Rodentia; Sciuridae.
CAGCAGUGUAGAGAAGAUCACUGGGCACCCAGUAAUGGCCGAGUUCAGGAGGACAGCUGCCUGCUAGUGGUCACACUUGUGAAGAAAGACGGUCUAUGGUCUAUUCAUAUAUUUAACAUUUUGGACCUUUCCUGCAAGCUAACACUCAGACCCCCAGAACCGCCAUUUGCUACUCUUUUCAAAUCAUUGACAAAAAAGACUGGUCUAGUCUCACUUUAUGUUUAUGAUCACUCUCUUUAAGGGCUCCGUUACGGUGCUGUUUGACAGAGCCUUGGCCAGGUCCACGCCCAUGCUCUCUGGGAGAGCUUCAUAGGUAGCACUCGCAGGUUCUCUGGGAAGGUUAAGGCCAUCUUCUUCCUACAAACACCCUGGCCUCCAUGUGCAAAUUGGCCUUCUCCUCUUUACAAGCCUAGCAGAGUGUGUAGGUAGCUUCUCCACUCAAACCCAAGGUCUCCUCAAAAUAGCCCUCCAAUCCUGGUCUGCUCAGCAUAUAUCUGCAUAUUAAAGAGAGCACACUAACAUCUGCUCUAAAUUGGCC